UAAACAAUGUUGAUGACAUGACGU
Molecule: microRNA, 24 nt
Filed under: Ananas comosus (pineapple)
Lineage: Eukaryota; Viridiplantae; Streptophyta; Magnoliopsida; Poales; Bromeliaceae
Description: microRNA s0737_c95a
Source: RNAcentral